This 598-nucleotide ribosomal RNA is filed under the name unidentified nematode. RNAcentral's name for it is "SSU rRNA". It matches the Rfam family "Eukaryotic small subunit ribosomal RNA", at positions 1024 to 1643 of the family's 1831-position model. Lineage: Eukaryota; Metazoa; Nematoda. The record is from RNAcentral.
UUCUGACCGUAAACGAUACCAACUAGCGAUCUGCCGGUGGAAUAUUUUUGCCCUGGUAGGGAGCUUCCCGGAAACGAUUAAGUUUUCAGGUUCCGGGGGAAGUAUGGUUGCAAAGCUGAAACUUAAAGGAAUUGACGGAAGGGCACCACCAGGAGUGGAGCCUGCGGCUUAAUUUGACUCAACACGGGGAAACUCACCCGGCCCGGACACCGUAAGGAUUGACAGAUUGAUAGCUUUUUCAUGAUUCGGUGGAUGGUGGUGCAUGGCCGUUCUUAGUUCGUGGAGCGAUUUGUCUGGUUUAUUCCGAUAACGAGCGAGACUCUAGCCUACUAACUAGUCUGCACAUUGCUUGUGUGUGCAGUUACUUCUUAGAGGGAUUUUCGGUGUUAUAGCCGCACGAGAUUGAGCAAUAACAGGUCUGUGAUGCCCUUAGAUGUCCGGGGCUGCACGCGCGCUACACUGGCGAAAUCAGCGUGCUUGUCCUUUCUCGAAAGAGAUUGGUAAACCAAUGAAAAUUUGCCGUGAUUGGGAUCGGAAAUUGCAAUUAUUUUCCGUGAACGAGGAAUUCCAAGUAAAUGCAAGUCAUCAACUUGCGUUG